UGGGCACUCUAUGCAGACUGCCCGGGUUAACCGGGAGGAAGGUGGGGACGACGUCAAGUCAUCAUGGCCCUUACACCUAGGGCUACACACGUACUACAAUGGCACGCACAAAGGGCAGCGAUACCGUGAGGUGGAGCCAAUCCCAAAAAACGUGUCCCAGUCCGGAUUGCAGUCUGCAACUCGACUGCAUGAAGUCGGAAUCGCUAGUAAUUCGAGGUCAGCAUACUCGGGUGAAUGCGUUCCCGGGCCUUGUACACACCGCCCGUCACACCACGAAAGUCGGUUUUACCCGAAGCCGGUGAGCCAACUAGCAAUAGAGGCAGCCGUCUACGGUAGGGCCGAUGAUUGGGGUGAAGUCGUAACAAGGUAGCCGUAGGGGAACCUGCGGCUGGAUCACCUCCUUUAAGG
RNAcentral lists this ribosomal RNA (408 nucleotides) under Desulfovibrio piger. Its description in RNAcentral is "bacterial SSU rRNA". It matches the Rfam family "Bacterial small subunit ribosomal RNA", at positions 1132 to 1533 of the family's 1533-position model. The record is from RNAcentral. Lineage: Bacteria; Pseudomonadati; Thermodesulfobacteriota; Desulfovibrionia; Desulfovibrionales; Desulfovibrionaceae.